GGAGAGUUAAGGUAAAGUCAGGUCAAACCUUUAAACCUGUGAGCAGCUCUGUUAGUGACAGGCCUUCACAUUAAGCUGAGUCUCUGAUGAACGUACAGUAAGACUCAAGUUGAGCAUCAUAAGGUGAAACCAGCAGCAAGUGAAACUGAGUUUUCAUCCUCCACCAGUGAAGCGUCACCUCCCAGGAUGCACCUGCAAACCUUCUCUCCUUAAUUAGAGCUUCAUGCAAAUCAAGACGUCAUGUGACACUUGUCACAUUUUAGUUAAACUAGAACCAUCAGCCAACUUCCGCCUGCGCCGUUGCCAAGCGUUACGUUGGUUCAUUUAUUUUUGUUUCCAACCCUGCAGGUUUCAAUGAUUACCAUCCUGUGGCGCUGACAUCAGUGGUGAUGAAGAGCUUCCAGAAACUGAUAAAAGGUCUGAUUUGUGUCUCAUUACCUAAAUUCAUUCAUCCCCUACAAUUCGCCUUGAACAUGUGAUGCCGUCUCUCAUGUCCUUUAUUUCCACAUUGGAAUUUCAGGAAAGGGAAUUAUGCUACACUUCUUUUUAUAGGCUCCAGUUCAACUUUUAUAACUAAGGUCCCUUCAUGACUCAUCAAAACGUUCAGGGAACUUUUCUUUAGUCUGUCUUAUUUAUCACUGUGAUUUACAACUCCAUCAGUUAUAAUUGUUUAGCUCACUUUGGUGGCCUGGUAGCGCAGU
Molecule: long non-coding RNA, 701 nt
Organism: Betta splendens (Siamese fighting fish)
Lineage: Eukaryota; Metazoa; Chordata; Actinopteri; Anabantiformes; Osphronemidae
Exons: 3
Source: RefSeq, a predicted model, not a curated record